Molecule: transfer RNA, 85 nt
Filed under: Felis catus (domestic cat)
Lineage: Eukaryota; Metazoa; Chordata; Mammalia; Carnivora; Felidae
Rfam family: tRNA
About the family: Transfer RNA (tRNA) molecules are approximately 80 nucleotides in length.
Source: Rfam by way of RNAcentral
ACCUGGGUGGCUCAGUUGGUUGAGCAUCUGACUUUGGCUCAGGUCAUGAUCUCAUGGUUUGUGGGUUUGGGCCCCACAUCAGGCU